AGGGCACCACCAGGAGUGGAGCCUGCGGCUUAAUUUGACUCAACACGGGAAAACUCACCCGGCCCGGACACUGUAAGGAUUGACAGAUCGAGAGCUCUUUCUUGAUUCGGUGGUUGGKGGUGCAUGGCCGUUCUUAGUUGGUGGAGCGAUUUGUCUGGUUUAUUCCGAUAACGAACGAGACUCCGGCCUACUAAAUAGUGACUGGAUCGCUGGUCCAGUGCACUUCUUAGAGGGACAAGCGGCGUUCAGCCGCAUGAAAUGGAGCAAUAACAGGUCUGUGAUGCCCUUAGAUGUCCGGGGCUGCACGCGCGCUACACUGGAGGAGGCAGCGUGCCUUUGCCAUUGCCGAAAGGUAUUGGUAAACCGAUGAAAAUCCUCCGUGAUCGGGAUCGGGAAUUGCAAUUAUUUCCCUCGAACGAGGAAUUCCCAGUAAGUGUGGGUCAUCAGCUCGCGCUGAUUACGUCCCUGCCCUUUGUACACACCGCCCGUCGCUGCCCGGGACUGAGCCGUUUCGAGAAA
Molecule: ribosomal RNA, 519 nt
Filed under: uncultured eukaryote
Lineage: Eukaryota
Description: SSU rRNA
Rfam family: Eukaryotic small subunit ribosomal RNA
Source: RNAcentral